AAGUCGUAACAAGGUUUCCGUAGGUGAACCUGCGGAAGGAUCAUUACUGAAGUUUUGGCCGCAAGGCCACUCUUCCACCCUUUGUUUAUAACACCUUUGUUGCUUUGGCGGGCCGCCCUAGGCCACCGGCGUCAGCUGGUGCGCGCCCGCCAGAGGCCCAAACAACCUGUUUUAUAGUGUUUGUCUGAGUAAAAACUUAAUUGUUAAAACCUUCAACAAUGGAUCUCUUGGCUCUG
This 236-nucleotide unclassified non-coding RNA is filed under the name fungal sp. RNAcentral describes it as "partial internal transcribed spacer region". The stretch from base 1 to 46 matches the Rfam family "Eukaryotic small subunit ribosomal RNA", at positions 1786 to 1831 of the family's 1831-position model. The record is from RNAcentral. RNAcentral also lists the same sequence under 1 other name. Lineage: Eukaryota; Fungi.